This is a long non-coding RNA of Anthonomus grandis grandis, 937 nucleotides long. RefSeq lists it as uncharacterized. NCBI's taxonomy places the organism in Eukaryota, Metazoa, Arthropoda, Insecta, Coleoptera, Curculionidae. The record is from RefSeq and is a predicted model, not a curated record. The transcript is spliced from 3 exons.
CGAAACACUUGUUCGAGUGGGUUUAGGUAAAGUGUUAAUAAUUUUCAAGUGAAACUGCCGUUAAAAUGCCCCUUUCACCCGCAAAGGGACAUUUUUUAUCCGCAACAAGCGAUGAAAAAACAACACAGAUCUUCACAAUGGACCUGCGGUAUAUGCGGCAAAUAAUUUUUCGAAGAAAAAUUGCUAGACAUGCAUUUCGAUAAUCGGCAUGAAGAGAAAAUUAACCUGGUAAGUGUCUUAAUUUAACCUUGAUAACUAAUGAUGUUUAAUUGAAAUUUAAAUUGAAAAGUGACUAAACUAUUGCCUAAUAUUCCAGGCCGAAAAUGCCGUAUGUCUGGCAGAUUACUGUGAUAUAAUGCGUUGCGACGUAUUUGGUCUCAACGACCUCAAAUCGGAAACUUCGAAACCAGAGAACACCGACAUUGAAAUUUGGAGGGAGGCCUCGGCUUACUCAAAAGCCGCCCAGGGACCACGCGAAAUUGCCAAAUACGUAUUGGACACUUGGGUUUGCAACGGAGUGAAAAGAAAUGCGCCAUUUCUGGAACCCUAAAGUGCCAAAAGGUUAAGGAUAAGGAGACUGCAAGUGUAAAGGGCGGCACAAACGACGAGGACGUUUUUCAGCAAAAUUUCAGCAGCAAUAACAAUCAGGUUUGUCAAAGCGAUCUCGUCGACUCGGCCUUACGAGCACCGGACGAACGACAGCAGCGCAUCGAUAAAAUUCAAAAACUGAAAGCCGACUGUAAACCUGAGGAAUACCUCUUUUGAAUAUGUUUCAGAGUAUGGGUAAAAGCGAGUAAAUGAAUUAAUUAAAUCCUACGGUUGUAAAAGCAAAGAUGAGGGCAUGUACAGGCAGAUAAGGAAGGAUAUACAGGCUAAGCUACAAUUUGAGCCAAGUCAAAAUUUAGUGAUUCUACUCUCGAUUUGAUGAACUUCGUCC